GAUGAACGCUGGCGGCGUGCUUAACACAUGCAAGUCGAACGAGAAGUGGAGACGGAAACCUUCGGGCGGAAGACUUUACUUCGAGUGGCGGACGGGUGAGUAACGCGUGGGUAACCUGCCUCAUACAGGGGGAUAACAGUUGGAAACGACUGUUAAUACCGCAUAAGACCACAGCACCGCAUGGUGCGGGGGUAAAAACUCCGGGGGUAUGAGAUGGACCCGCGUUCGAUUAGCCAGUUGGCGGGGUAACGGCCCACCAAGGCGACGAUCGCUAGCCGAACUGGGAGGAUGACCGGCCACAUUGGGACUGAGACACGACCCAAACUACGACGGGAGGCAGCAGUGGAGAAUAUUGCACGAUGGGAGAAACCCUGAUGCAGCGACGCCGCGUGAGUGAAGAAGUAUAUCGGUAUGUAAAGCUCUAUCAGCAGGGAAGAAAAUGACAGUACCUGAGUAAGAAGGCCCGGCUGACUACGUG
Molecule: ribosomal RNA, 478 nt
Filed under: uncultured bacterium
Lineage: Bacteria
Description: partial 16S ribosomal RNA
Rfam family: Bacterial small subunit ribosomal RNA
Source: RNAcentral